Molecule: ribosomal RNA, 354 nt
Filed under: uncultured Sphingobacteriales bacterium
Lineage: Bacteria; Pseudomonadati; Bacteroidota; Sphingobacteriia; Sphingobacteriales
Description: bacterial SSU rRNA
Rfam family: Bacterial small subunit ribosomal RNA
Source: RNAcentral
UAUACAAGGUGCUGCAUGGUUGUCGUCAGCUCGUGCCGUGAGGUGUCGGGUUAAGUCCCAUAACGAGCGCAACCCUAUCAUUAGUUGCCAUCAGGUCAAGCUGGGGACUCUAAUGAAACUGCCUACGCAAGUAGUGAGGAAGGUGGGGAUGAACGUCAAAUCAGCACGGCCCUUACGGUCCAGGGCUACACACGUGCUACAAUGGCCGGUACAAAGGGCAGCUACCUGGUGACAGGAUGCUAAUCUCCAAAGUCGGUCUCAGUUCGGAUCGGAGUCUGCAACCCGACCCCGUGAAGUUGGAUUCGCUAGUAAUCGCGCAUCAGCCAUGGCGCGGUGAAUACGUUCCCGGGCCUU